AGCAUGAUUUACAAAAGAAGAAAGAAAAGUUUGAGCUUUGUUUACAUCUGUUGAUUUUGGGCUGGAAGGUCGACGGCGGUGGCUCGGCGCCACUGUCGGUCUGGCUGGAAAGAUAGAAGGUCGGGGGCUGUGAGGCGGCUCAUCGCCGUUGCUCCGGCGAGGGUUUGAGAAGAGAGUCAGGGGAGGCCGAGCCUAGGGCUCCGGCGGGCGGCUUCUGCUGCUGCUUAUCGGAAGAAGUCCGAGAGGGAAGCCAGGCGCUGCGGCUCUGCCGUUGUUGCCUAGCUACGGUGAAGAGUGGGGAAGGAGAGGACGACGGCGGCGGUGGCUUGAUGCUCCUGCUGCCCGUCGAUCCAGAGAGAGUCGGAGUCGGCGGCGGUAGUGGCUUCUCGCUGCUAUCGCCGGAGUUCCAGAGGGAGGAUCGGAGUUUGAGAGGGAGGAGCGGUGGCGGCUGGGGCUGCUAUCGCCGGAGGUAGAACCGCGGGGGUUGAGCUUUCAGAGGGAGGCUAGAGCUCGGCGGCCUUGGCUGCUGUCUCUUGGCCACUGUCAGAGAGAGAGAGAGCUGGUGGCGGCAGCUCGUCGCUGCUGCUCCUCCGGCGAGCUCCACGGUGGGCGGCUGUUACCAGCCGAAGAGAGAGGGGCCGAGGAAGGCGGCUGGUCUUUUCGGUUGAUGCGGCUGCCGGUCGACGGCUGCCUCGCCGGAAGGAUGCGCGGUGGCGGGACUGAUGGCUGAGAGAGAAGGGAGCGAGAGAUGAGGGAAGAGGGAGCCGAGAGAGGGAGAAGAGAGUGAGAUGUGAUAGUAUGUGUGUGUGUGUGCGGCUGGGGAGGAAGAAAAAGGGUGGUGGGGGUGUUGGGCUUUAGGUUUGGGUUAGGGGUUGGGCUUUAAAUUUGGGCCGGGUUUUUAAUUAGUGUUGGGCUGAAAAUUUUGUUAGAAUUUGGGCCGAGUUGGGCCGUUUUUUUUUCAUUUUUUUUUAUUUAUUUUUUUCAGUUGGGCUUGAGUCUUUGGGCCAAGUCAGUAAUGGGCUCAGUUUAUUUAAUUUAGUUAUGGGACGAUUUUAUGAGUACUUGGGCCGAGAUUUUUAAUUAAAUGGGCUGAGUUAUUUCUUAAUUUUGGGCCGAUUUUCUUUUAUUAAGUUGGGCCUUUGAUUAUUUUAAAU
This 1154-nucleotide long non-coding RNA is filed under the name Salvia miltiorrhiza (redroot sage). Its description in RNAcentral is "long non-coding RNA (SMIL_LNC004043)". Lineage: Eukaryota; Viridiplantae; Streptophyta; Magnoliopsida; Lamiales; Lamiaceae. The record is from RNAcentral.